RNAcentral lists this long non-coding RNA (2634 nucleotides) under Homo sapiens (human). RNAcentral's name for it is "HSALNT0391337". The record is from RNAcentral. Lineage: Eukaryota; Metazoa; Chordata; Mammalia; Primates; Hominidae.
GUGGGAAGUUCUUCUGCUGGUUCUUCCUGAGAUCACUCAUGUGGCUGCAGUCUUUUGAUGACUACACUCAAGCUGGAGGUUCUGACAUGAUGUCUCAGCCAAGAAGUGUAUCACAUUGACACCAACUUAACUCAUGACUGCAGGCUGGCUUUCCAAUCCAUUAGUGCCCUCCACAAGUCAAGUGUUGGACCACAGGAAAUGAAGAAGUAGAGCUUUGGUUUACAUAUGUUGACGUGAACAACUCAGUUGCACCCGUUAUGAGAGUAACUGCUCAGCUUAUGAUGAGUGAAUAGGUCAUCCAGCAAGAAACAGAAAACACAGAAAUGGACCUUCUUUGGGAGCAGGGUAGCAAGGUAUAACUCCGAUUUCAUUUAUAAUUUAAUAAUAAACAGCUGCAGACGCCAUGUCAGAUGAAAUACAGGUCAAGAAGAGGAUGGGUAACCGGUAAAUACUUGAACCCUCCAGUUAUUCAUUGAAAUUUCAUGAGUGCCAACUCAUUAGCCAGAUCCUAUCAUAGACAAGCCUCUCUCUCUCCUCAUCACUGUGUUCAUCCCCACUCAUCAUUCAUUAGUUUUUACUGGCAAAUGGCUCAGUACCAGGUGCUUUGCUGCAUGUGCUAGUGAAUAGCAUAUUGCCUUUAGAAAUGCUCUGUGUCAAAAUUCUAAAAGAAAAAAUAUAUGGAUUACUGUUCUUAGCUUUCCAUUCAUUCUCUAGCAACUCUGUUAACAUCAUGGGCUUCUCAGAGCAUGGCUGAGGAGGCAUUUCUUCCAGCCACACAACAAUUCCACAGAAAUAAAGAAGGGCCCAAGCUAGUAAGAUCUCACAUGAAACUGGUAAAGUAUGGGUUUGCCACAGCUGUUGUUAGGUCACUUUCUCUGUGCAGUCAAGUCUCAACAUCUGGUGCAAACUACUUGGCUGAGGCAACAGAAUGGUAUCUGGCUUUCAAAUCAUCAAGGCACAAUCACUUGGCCUCACGAAGUGAUCUAAUUAGAUAAGAGAUCUCAACACUAUUGAAACAUGGUUACUAUGAUGUUUGCAAUAUAAUAGGUCUCUACAGUUCAGGCUAACCUUUUAAAGAUAAAAGGUUUAUCUUUUAGUCGUUUUUUCAAUAUAUGCCUUAAGUAAACUGUCACAAAAUUGACCACAUAAAUAAGCAUAAAAUAAAUUUUAUGUAAAAAAAUGUGGUUCUUCCUUUCUCACUGUGAGCCUUAACUCUCUGCAAGAAAUAGCUCUGCCACAGCAUUAUCUCAGAGCCCCGCAAUGGAGCCCUCCCUGACUCUUCACGUUAUCCCUGUGGGUUUACCUGGUCAGUCACUGGGUAUUGUCAAUUAUUUAUGAAUAUUGCUCUCAUUUCUGUUCUCUCUGGUUUCAUUCCAGGUCAGGUCUUCAUAAUCAGGGGCUUAAUCAACAUUAUAUAUGGUAUAUUUAUUUAAACAUUCUUGAAGACUCUUGUUAGAGAACAUCAUGGUAUAAGUGAGUCUCUUGUUUGUUUGUUUGCAAUUCAGCUGAAUGAAGACUUAAGCCAUAUGUCUAUAUAGAUAAACACUAUGGCAAGUGAGAGUCUGAGAUGAUAGGGCUCUCCCAUGGUGAAAGGGUUUGUUGGCUCUCAAAAGAUGGCAGCAGCAUAGAGCUGGAAAUAGAGGUGUAAUGUUAGAGACAGUGGUUCUCCCACAGUGUCCCCUGUAAUAAUAGUUGUAAAUUAUUCUCUUCUUUUUGCCUCCCUUGGGUUGAGCCUGAACAAAAAAAUUAUAAAUAUGUGAACACAGUCAAAUGACAGGCAAUAUAUUUUGCAAACUUAUGGGAGGGAAAGAGCUAAUUGUCUUAAUUUAAAAAACUCACUCAUACAAGUCACUGAAAUAAAACAAAAUCAUCCAGUAGAAAUAUGGCCAAGGCACAGGAACAGAUAGCUCCCAUGGAUUUAAAGAUAAAUUGAACUCAAAGAGGAAAGUGUCCCAAAUCAAAAUUAAAACUAUACAUUUUUAUUUUCUUAUAAAUUAGUAAGGAUCAGAAAGUGUAGUGUUUGUUAGAAGGUGCAGAACUAUAUGCAGAACUAUACUCACAUGUUGCAGGGAAUAUAAACUUUUAUGAAGUACAAUUUGUCAAAAGCUAUAAAAAUUUAAAUAGACAUAUUUUGGUAAAGAAUUCCACUUGGCUAUUGACACUAGAUGUGCAUGGAAACAUAUGUACGAGAAUGUAUAUAUAUUAUUGCUUAUGAGUUUAAAAGACUAAGAAACAACCUGAACAUCCAGCAAUAGGGGAUUUAUAAAUAAAUGGUAACUCCAUUGAAUGAAAUAGUAUGCAGUUUCAGCUGUCAAAAAGAAGGAGGCUCUGUACAUACCAAGACAAACUGACUGACUUCCACGAUAAGGUGAAAAAUGCAAAAUACUGAAUAGUGUGUAUAAAAUUCAAGUUGUGUUAAAAAGGAAAUGAAAUGUAUUACCAAUUUUAGCAUAUGCCCGUAUUAUCCAUGGAUGUUUACACAAAAACUUGGUAAUAGUGUGACUGCAUCUUGGGUGCAGAAGCAAGGGGCUAGAAGUCAUUGGCAGAAAGAAAAUAUAAUUUUCACUGAAUACUUAUUUGUUGCCUUUAAAAUGUUCACGUUUGCAUGUAUUUAUGUAACCUUUCAAAAAAUUG